This 74-nucleotide transfer RNA is filed under the name Loxodonta africana (African savanna elephant). It matches the Rfam family "tRNA". Rfam says of the family: Transfer RNA (tRNA) molecules are approximately 80 nucleotides in length. Their secondary structure includes four short double-helical elements and three loops (D, anti-codon, and T loops). Lineage: Eukaryota; Metazoa; Chordata; Mammalia; Proboscidea; Elephantidae. The record is from Rfam by way of RNAcentral.
ACCUGAGUGGUACAAGAGGUUAAUGCAUUCAACUGCUAAUCAAAAAGUUGGUGGUUUGAAUCCACCCACAUGCA